GCCUGCAGACUGAAGGGUCCCGGGUUUGAUUCUGGUCAAGGGCACAAACCUCAGUUGCAGACUAGAUCCCCAGCCACGUGUGGGAGGCAACCAAUCGAUGUGUCUCUCUCUCACAUCGAUGUUUCUCGGGGAAGGGAUCCACCCUUCUAUAUAAUAGAACAUAUCUGUAAUUCUUCACGAGUGUUAGUUGACGUUGAGCAAAAUGCUUCUUCAUAAUAUUGGUGACUACUACAGCACAAUACACAUUUCGGAAGCAUUGAAGAGCUGUGUGUUUUAUGAAACUAUGAAACAUAGUAUAGUGAUAUGAUUCAUGUAUUCAAAUCCCAACUUUAGCACUCAAUAACUAAGAACUUAAGUCAUUAAACUGCUCUGUUACUCAGUAUCUCAUCAGUAAAUGGGGACAAUAAUAAUUCCUACUUUGUGCAUGUGAUGUGUCAAUAGUGCAUGAGGAAAGGGGAACCUAGAGAUUGAAAGAGGCUUAAAACAUAUAUUGACCAAAUGCAACAUAUAUGGAUCAAGAGACAUAUCCGUGAAAUACAAUAUGUGGACAUUUGGGGGAAAUCCUGAUUUGAAAAAAGCAGCUGGAACAGAUAUUAUGAAGCAGUUGGUGAAAUUUCAAUCCUGACUGUGGUGAUAUCAAGGAAUUAUUGUUAUAUUUUAGAUGUGCUAAUGAAAUUGUUAUUACUUAAGAAUCUUUAUCUUUUAAAAAUGUAUACAGAAGUAUUGUCAUGAAAUGCUUCAUGACAAAUUUAUUGUCAUAAAUUUGCUUCAAAAUAAUAAAGUGAUGGCAUAGAUGAUGAAAGAUUUCCCAUUGUUUAUUACAACAUGGUUUAUUUUUUUGUUUUUUUUUUACUACUAUACUCUCUACUUUUGUAUGUGUCUGAAGUUGUACAAAAUAAUUUGUUUUUAAAAGUGCUAGAACAUAGUAAGGAUGUUGUAAAUCUUUACUAUUAUUAUAUGCUUUGUAUUCAUAAUAUUAUCUACUGUUCCUUUAUACCUUUCAGGUUACGUGUUUUUAUUUACAUUAUGUCUUCUGGUAUUGCCACUCAACUAGAAGGAAGAAACACAUUCUGAGUCCUGUGCCACGCUGUGUAGAGAGACCCUUGUGGGAGUUUCGGCUUUCCCUUUUGGCGUUUCAGAACGGAGAAGAGCCAUCUGCUGCUGGAAGAAACACAUCCUGGAGUCCUGUGCCACGCUGUGUAGAGAGACCCUUGUGGGAGUUUCGGCUUUCCCUUUUGGCGUUUCAGAACGGAGAAGAGCCAUCUGCU
Myotis myotis is the source of this 1268-nucleotide long non-coding RNA. RefSeq lists it as uncharacterized. NCBI's taxonomy places the organism in Eukaryota, Metazoa, Chordata, Mammalia, Chiroptera, Vespertilionidae. The record is from RefSeq and is a predicted model, not a curated record. The transcript has 3 exons.